CCUGUCUGCCUGUCUCUGUGUCACGCAGAUGGAGUCACUUCCAGGGUCCUUUCCCAACCUUUGGACACUGAAGGCCACUGUGGGCUCAUCUGCUGGCCUGUGAGGUCCAGGUGUGACCGGGGGCGCAGGACUCCUGGCUGACCCUGGGCAACUGGGCAGCACGGGGCGUGACUGAUGUGUGAGUUCAUUAGCUUUGCGGAGUAUCAAUUUCCUUACCUGCUAAAUGGGGAGAUAGCUCCUGGCUUAAACCCAUCUUCCAGGAGCAGCUCUUGGCAGGGUGAUUGGAAUGAGGUAAGCACUUAAGCCAUGGUUGCUGUGGAUCUUAUUGCUGUGACUUCAGCCUUUGUCCAAAAUUUCCAUGCACCCUCUUGGAGUGUUAUGCAUCGGGAGAGCCUGGUGGCUGAUGCCCAUAGAAACGCCUCUCCCCAGAAGCUCCCCCAAUCCCAAGCUCUCAUUAUCCUACAUGCAUAUUCAUGAGGUCUGGCCUCAGCCCCGCUCUGUAAAUGAAUCAGUAGCAGGAAGUGGAGGCCAGUGCAGAGAACAAGGCCCAGGGGACAGGAGGCUGGAAUCCAGAGUGCAUCUGAGUCCUCAUGGAUGGGAGGAUGAUGAGAAGCGUGAGGCUGAAAGAAGAUGAGUCAGCAGGACAAAGCGGCGUGGCCUCCUGCCUCUGCCAUGGCCUUGGGUGGGGCCAGGUAGACCUCACACGGCAGGAGGGGCUGCCCACAGGCCUAGGGAGAUGGAUCACGAACCUUGGGAGGUGGAUCAAGCCAGCUCUACAGCACAGCCUGUGACUCCGGCAUCCCAUAUGGGUGCCAGUUUGAGUCCCAGCUGCUCCAUUUCCAAUCCAGCUCCCUGCGGAUGCACCUGGGGAAGCAGUAGAAGAUGGCCCAAGUGCUUGGGGCCCUGCACCCAUGUGGGAGACUGGAUGGUGUUCCCGACUUCUGGCUUUGGCCUAGUCCAGCCCUGGCCACUUGCAACCAUUUGGAGAGUGAACUAGUAGAUAGAGGAUCUCCCGCCCCCCCCCCCCCCCCCCUUUGGAACUUGGCCUUUCAAGGAAA
Molecule: long non-coding RNA, 1058 nt
Filed under: Oryctolagus cuniculus (rabbit)
Lineage: Eukaryota; Metazoa; Chordata; Mammalia; Lagomorpha; Leporidae
Description: lncRNA (ENSOCUG00000038736.1)
Source: RNAcentral